This 253-nucleotide ribosomal RNA is filed under the name uncultured bacterium. Its description in RNAcentral is "partial 16S ribosomal RNA". It matches the Rfam family "Bacterial small subunit ribosomal RNA", at positions 524 to 776 of the family's 1533-position model. The record is from RNAcentral.
GACAGAGGUGCCAAGCGUUAGGCGGAAUCACUGGGCUUAAAGCGUGUGUAGGCGGAUCGUUAAGUACCUUGUGAAAUCCCACGGCUCAACCGUGGAACUGCUGGGUAUACUGGCGAUCUUGAGCCACCUAGGGGCGAGCGGAACAAGCGGUGGAGCGGUGAAAUGCGUAGAUAUCAUGAGGAAUACCAGAGGCGAAGGCGGCUACCUGGACAAUUGCUGACGCUCAGGCACGAAAGCGUGGGGAGCAAAAGGG